This 419-nucleotide ribosomal RNA is filed under the name Microsporidia sp. clade X. RNAcentral's name for it is "SSU rRNA". It matches the Rfam family "Eukaryotic small subunit ribosomal RNA", at positions 1341 to 1791 of the family's 1831-position model. The record is from RNAcentral. Lineage: Eukaryota; Fungi; Microsporidia.
CCUCUUCCUGCUAAAUAGAACCGCUCACCUUGGUGUGCGGCGUCUUCUUAGAGGGACUAUCUAUGUUUAAUAGAUGGAAGUUGGAGGCAAUAACAGGUCUGUGAUGCCCUUAGAUGUUCUGGGCCGCACGCGCGCUACACUGAUAAAGUCAGCGAGUACAUUACCUUGACCGGAAGGUCUGGGCAAUCUUUUGAAACUUUAUCGUGAUGGGGAUUGACCAUUGCAAUUAUUGGUCAUGAACGAGGAAUUCCUAGUAAGUGCGAGUCAUCAGCUCGCGUUGAUUACGUCCCUGCCCUUUGUACACACCGCCCGUCGAUACUACCGAUUGAAUGGCUUAGUGAGACCUUUGGAUCAGGCCUGCUCUUGUAGUGGGACCGAGAAAUUGGUCAAACUUGGUCAUUUAGAGGAAGUAAAAGUCG